GGAACCACUGAUCUAGUCCAAACUGCUCAUGGUGCAGAUAAGAACACUGAAGCACCCUCGGGACUUUCCCAGAGUCGUACAUGGUGGGAACACUUUGGACAGGCUGAAGAAGGGAGAACAGGGUGUCCAGGUUCAAUCAAGGCACACAUCUUCUCUUACCAGAGACAUAGACAUGGAGCCUCAGAUGCAACACUCAACACGACGAAGCCCCAAACUAUAGAAGCUGAAAAGUAAUUGAAUCCUCAUUUCCAUCAUCCAGAGCCGAGUCUGCAGAAGGACUGUCCUGCCUGUACAUCCUCUGUCUGUGCCACCCUCUGCCUCCUACUGCUGAACUCUGUUGUGUGAGGACGUGGGCUUGGCCAACCUGCAAUCAAGAGAGGAGGAUCAGGAGAAUCUCAGAGUCACCCACCCAGAGGCCUACUUCCCUGAGCUUCUGAGCCAACUUCCUUCCUCUGACUUCCUGACAACCAGGAAAACCAAACCCC
This 485-nucleotide long non-coding RNA is filed under the name Sus scrofa (pig). RNAcentral describes it as "lncRNA (ENSSSCG00040011332.1)". Lineage: Eukaryota; Metazoa; Chordata; Mammalia; Artiodactyla; Suidae. The record is from RNAcentral.